Molecule: long non-coding RNA, 1953 nt
Organism: Gallus gallus (chicken)
Lineage: Eukaryota; Metazoa; Chordata; Aves; Galliformes; Phasianidae
Source: Ensembl
GGGCUACAGGGAGGCAGGAGAGUGAAGUGGUAGUGGGACAUGGCCGUGGACUGGUGGGCUUCCAUCCCCACCAGAGUUGCCUGCAUCCAGUGCUGUGCUCAGCUAGAAGAAGGCUAUUUCUUUCUGGUGGGCUCAUGGAAGAGCCAGGUCCCCUCCAGAGCUGGCUGGGAACAGAAAUUACACUGCACAAAAAGACAUUCACCCUCGGAAAAAGACCAGUCAUCAGCCUGCAUCAGAAUGAAAAUGGAGAGUUUCAAAAUGUUUCCAAAUGCAAUGACAUACCACAAAUAGCCCAGAAGUCAGGCCAUUGCUCCGGGCAUGGGAGAGCUGAGCUCAUGGCCUUCCUGACACACUACUCCACUCAUCGGGCAGCAAAGUCCCUCUUGGAGACUCCCAAAGGGGGUUGAAUGGCAUCUUGGCAGAGAGCCCGGGCCACCAACACGGCACUCUGCAAGGUCCUCCUUCCCAACCACAGGCUCCACCCGCAAUAAUCUGAAAAAUGCAUCUCAGUGCUAAAAGCCAUUGCAAAACGUCCUCGGGAGAAAAAUCUGUGAACUCAGAUUGAGCACAAAGCAGUGAUGUCUUGGGAAUUGUAUGUAUACCACAUGGCUGGAACCAGAGGGUCCUGAAGGAAUCUGGGUUGAUCUUGUCCUUCAGCCCUCCCCAAAGCACCAAGUGACACGGACCUUUGGGCUGCUGUAUCCUCCUAUAGAAUCAUAGAAUAGUGAAGGAUGGAAAUGACUGUUAAGAUCUAGUCCAACCUACGCAACUUUUCCAACCAGCACACCCACGUGGUACACACAAGCCCAUCUAAGGGCUCCAUUUCAUGAACCGGACUUCUUUUUGAUGUGAAACAAAGGAUGUCCAGCUUCAGAGAGCUCUCCCGUGUGGGCUUCUGCAUGCCACGCAGCAGUUCCUGCACAGAACGAGAGCACGCUACGUGGAUCAACCUUGCAGUGGCCUAUUUAUCACUCUGUAACACACUGCCCUCCGUGUUUCUCCACCAGACACGACAUCAAGAAACCUGACCCUGAGCAGGCACCAAACCCAGGUGAGGGGCUCCAGGGUCUUAUUUCAAUUCUCCUUCACCAUCCUCUGCCGCCUCCACUAUCUGAUGCUGUGCAAAUGUUCCCAGGCUCCACGAAGGCUUCGCCUUGCUCAGUCCCAUCUCUGAUUUCCAUGGUGCAUCAGAAAAGAAGAGGAUGACUCCUUUGACCCCCCUGCUGUGUGUUCAUUUCAAUGUGAGAAGGGGAAGUGCAAAGUGUCUGCAGAGCACGGGUAGAUUAAAAAUCUCCAUGGGUGCAAGGGCAGAGCAGAUAGAAGAGUCCACAGAGUGUUCCUGAGAACAUAACAAUGAUGCCUGGCUCAGGAAGACUCCAAGCUGAAGGUUGUGGGAGGGUGGGAGAUGGUGAGAGAACACCGUGUGUGCUUACCCAUCUUUGUUCCCUUCUCCAGCAUCUGCUCUGGGCUCUGCUGGGAGAGGGACGGUUCCACCCAGCCUGCCUGGCCCUGCGUCCCACUCAGCACCAGAGAAAAGCAGCUCAAAAAAUGUCAUGUGCUGGAAAGAAGAAGCAUAUGGAGCUUGAAGAUAUCCAUUGUCUCCAAAUCCUAUACUCAAAGAAUGACCCUUUGUUGCCCUGCACUCAUCACUGGGUAGCAUGGGCUGCUCAUGAGCCUUCCCUUUCGCCUAGGUUGCCAGUAUCAGUACUAUUGUGGGGAACUCAUCCACGCUAACAUAACUGGUCCUUGAAUGAUUUGUUUGCACCCCAGAUCAAUGCAGAAUGAUGAUCAUUCCAUCCAGAGAUGGCCCAAGGGCACGUGCUGCUGCCACACUGCCUAUGUGCACUCACUCCCUGGUGUUACCGCUUCCCUCAACCAAAAUCUGUUUGAAAUAAACUGUAUAUUUUUUCUGGCAAAAAUAAAAAAUAAAGAAGUUCAGAUGCCACCAGAUGG